Molecule: ribosomal RNA, 454 nt
Filed under: uncultured Porphyromonadaceae bacterium
Lineage: Bacteria; Pseudomonadati; Bacteroidota; Bacteroidia; Bacteroidales; Porphyromonadaceae
Description: partial 16S ribosomal RNA
Rfam family: Bacterial small subunit ribosomal RNA
Source: RNAcentral
ACGGGAGGCAGCAGUGAGGAAUAUUGGUCAAUGGGCGGAAGCCUGAACCAGCCAAGUCGCGUGAAGGAAGACGGUUCUAUGGAUUGUAAACUUCUUUUGCAUGAGGGUAAAGUGAGGUACGUGUACCUUAUUGCAAGUAUCAUGUGAAUAAGCAUCGGCUAACUCCGUGCCAGCAGCCGCGGUAAUACGGAGGAUGCGAGCGUUAUCCGGAUUUAUUGGGUUUAAAGGGUGCGUAGGCGGGAUAUUAAGUCAGCGGUGAAAGUUUGCGGCUCAACCGUAAAAUUGCCGUUGAAACUGGUGUCCUUGAGUGUAAACGAGGUAGGCGGAAUGUAACGUGUAGCGGUGAAAUGCUUAGAUAUGUUACAGAACUCCGAUUGCGAAGGCAGCUUACCAGCAUACAACUGACGCUGAGGCACGAAAGCGUGGGUAUCAAACAGGAUUAGAUACCCUGGUA